This is a non-coding RNA of Lolium perenne, 2549 nucleotides long. The record is from RefSeq and is a predicted model, not a curated record. NCBI's taxonomy places the organism in Eukaryota, Viridiplantae, Streptophyta, Magnoliopsida, Poales, Poaceae.
AGAGCCCACCGGCCAAACCCAAUUCAUUUCCACCAGCCACAUCUCUCCUCUUCCUCCUCCCCCCUCGCGUUCCCCCAUCCCGCCGCCACCUCUCCCUGCCCUAGCUCCUCCUCUGCAUCGGUGCCGCCACCACCUCGCAUCCUCCCGUGCUCCUCCCUGCCUCGCUGGUGAUCUCCUUGGAGCGGAGAAGGAGAGCGGCGGUUGGCCGCCUUGGAGCAGCACACGAUUGCUGCAGGCUGUACCACCCAUGGCCGACCGCCUCGCCUUGCGUGGGGCUCGACCUCGCGGACGACCGCCUGCUCCUCUGACACCACGUCACCGGUGGGCUUCUUCAUCGCCGCGGGGUCGAGCAGCUGCAGCCGGCAGUCAACGCGGGGGCCUGUAGAUCCGCCGUCGUCCGCGUCUUGCGCGCGCUCCGCCUGCGGUCGGGGUCGAGCAGCUACAGCCAGCGGUCAACGCGGGGCCCUGUAGAUCCGCCGUCGUCUGCAUCUUCCGCGCGCUCUACCUGCGGCCGUAGAUCAAUGGGCCAUCAUCUUGCAUCCGUGAGAGCAGGCAUGGAGCAUAUGAAUGAUUGAGCAAAGAAACAUGUCCAUCUUCUGUUUUCUAGAGAUUUCCCCCCUUCGACUAUUGUGGAAAUGUUUUGUGCACGCAAGGUACUCCAAAUACCUUUUGUGCUGGUUAAGAGCAGGGCCAGCAGUGUAUUUAGAACAUCUGCGCGCAUAUUAUCCUUAGGAGCAUACAGGCGAGACAACAUCACUUAAUGCCCUCCAACAACUAAUGCAGAAGCUUACAGGCCUUGGAUUUGGAAACGACAAGGCCCUGCAUUCAAGUGGUGGAAUUCACACAUGUAAAGUGAUGGAUCCUCUUAGUUCUUCCAUAUAAAGGCGUGUGAUGGUUGGUCUGCCUGUCUCGCAGCGCUUUGCAUUCUCUAGAACCUGAUAACAGCUAUAAGUCAGUUGCACUCAAUUAUCAGUCUAAGAGAGAUCUGGAUAUCAUAGAGGGUUAUUGUUGAUCCAUGGAUACAGUCCAACAUCCAUGAUUAACAGAGAAUGGUUGUUGACGUAUUACACUAAUGCAGUUGUUCCUUUACGGUGUGUGGGAGGCGCUACAGUCUAUCAGUCUUUUUAAUCUAUGGUUGAGCAAUCUAUGGUUGAGCAGAGAUAAGAAAAUAUCAGAAUUGAGUUGUUUCAAAUUAGCCCAUGUCAUGGCUUCACCUUGCUUUCCCAUGAAAGUGAGACACCUCUGUCAGUUCUAAGUUCUAUAUUAGACCUGAUUUGACAUUUGGGACAUUGUCAGUGACAAGAAUGACCUCCUUUGUGAAGUGUGUCCCAGGUAGGAAAUCAGCUCGUUGUUGUGACUAAUUGCAAUCUCUCCAACAUAUCCACUCUAAAAUAUAUCAUAGCAGUUGCCUUUGUGUAGAAAGAAUUAGAAAUAAUGUAUUUAUGUACUUUUGGCAUGCAGUCGUAUCAAUAUUCCUCUCCUUUAGAUAUAUGAUUUACACAUUUAGUGUUUAAUUUUACCUAAUCUAGCCUUAAAUUCUAAUCUUGUGGGAUCACAAAUUUAUAUUGGACUGCCUCUUUAUUUAGUCUUCAGGUAGCGGCAACUCUCCUUAGUAUAUAGUACAAUUGUGUUUGCUUCUUAUGUCCCUGACAAGUGUUUGGUUGAUUACUAAUGGAUAUAACUAAUUUUCUCUUUUUCAACACCCCUACUUAGUCCCAUAGUCCUCUCCCUUCUUGUACAUCAGUGUACUUUAUUUCAGCAUUUUCCCCUCUCUUUGCCUUAGAUAAGGAGAUAAGCUAGCUGUAGAUGUGGAGAUACAAAGACAGAACCAUAAGCUCGAUGAAACUAUUGGAUUUAAGUUAUACUUUGAAUGCUUAUUUCCAUUUUGUUAUGCAUAUGCACGGUGAUUGAAGUUCCCAGAUCCAUAGUGAUUUACCGUUGUUUUUAGGAUUUACGAUGCAAUGAGAUGUAAUUAGAAAAUUAGUUUGUUGAAAUUAUCUGCACCUCCACUCUAUACAAACUAGACCCAGUACUUGCAGCUAGAAAAUGAGUUAGUUGAUGCAUGUGUUAGUCCGAAGGUUUGUAUUCCGGGUUGAGCACUUCAUCUCAACAACUCAAGGCAAAGGCUUAUGGCUUUAUGCACUUUGUUACCACCUGCAGGAGGUAGAAACUAAAUUUUUUAAGGAAGAUAAUUGAUACCUUCAGUGGCACACUUGGAGUAUGAAAAUGCCUCAUUUGGAUCUAUGCCCCUCCGUUACUGCCCAACAGCUGGUGAAUUUUUUGUUUUAAGGAGGACCGGUACUGCGUUCACCAAUAGAUGUUCUACCUCCAUGUGUCAGAUCUUGCAGCAGGGAAAUGAACGGACCAUGCAUCAUUAGUUCCCUAAUACAUUUUAAAUUGUUUUAUGGUGUAACAUGUGUCAUUAUGAUAUAUUAUAUCUUACAAAUAGGCAUAGGUGACCUGCUCCAUUGACAACAAUUGAUUCACUAUAAUAAUGUUGCAGAUGAGCUUUGCAGCAAUAUUACCUAAAUAUAGCAUGCAGUUUUUCA